Molecule: ribosomal RNA, 376 nt
Filed under: uncultured bacterium
Lineage: Bacteria
Description: bacterial SSU rRNA
Rfam family: Bacterial small subunit ribosomal RNA
Source: RNAcentral
GACGAACGCUGGCGGCGUGCUUAACACAUGCAAGUCGAGCGGUAAGGCCCUUUCGGGGGUACACGAGCGGCGAACGGGUGAGUAACACGUGGGUGACCUGCCCUCAGCUCUGGGAUAAGCCUGGGAAACCGGGUCUAAUACUGGAUAUGACUCCAUGACGCAUGUUGUGGGGUGGAAAGCCUUGUGCGGCUGAGGAUGGGCCCGCGGCCUAUCAGCUUGUUGGUGGGGUGANGGCCUACCAAGGCGACGACGGGUAGCCGGCCUGAGAGGGCGACCGGCCACACUGGGACUGAGACACGGCCCAGACUCCUACGGGAGGGCAGCAGUGGGGAAUCUUGCGCAAUGGGCGAAAGCCUGACGCAGCGACGCCGCGUGA